GAUGAACGCUGGCGGCGUGCCUAAUACAUGCAAGUCGAGCGAACAGAUAAGGAGCUUGCUCCUUUGACGUUAGCGGCGGACGGGUGAGUAACACGUGGGUAACCUACCUAUAAGACUGGGAUAACUUCGGGAAACCGGAGCUAAUACCGGAUAACAUUUGGAACCGCAUGGUUCUAAAGUGAGAGAUGGUUUUGCUAUCACUUAUAGAUGGACCCGCGCCGUAUUAGCUAGUUGGUAAGGUAACGGCUUACCAAGGCAACGAUACGUAGCCGACCUGAGAGGGUGAUCGGCCACACUGGAACUGAGACACGGUCCAGACUCCUACGGGAGGCAGCAGUAGGGAAUCUUCCGCAAUGGGCGAAAGCCUGACGGAGCAACGCCGCGUGAGUGAUGAAGGGUUUCGGCUCGUAAAACUCUGUUAUUAGGGAAGAACAAACGUGUAAGUAACUGUGCACGUCUUGACGGUACCUAAUCAGAAAGCCACGGCUAACUACGUG
RNAcentral lists this ribosomal RNA (497 nucleotides) under uncultured bacterium. RNAcentral describes it as "partial 16S ribosomal RNA". It matches the Rfam family "Bacterial small subunit ribosomal RNA", at positions 28 to 507 of the family's 1533-position model. The record is from RNAcentral.